Etheostoma cragini (Arkansas darter) is the source of this 469-nucleotide long non-coding RNA. RefSeq lists it as uncharacterized. The transcript is spliced from 2 exons. Lineage: Eukaryota; Metazoa; Chordata; Actinopteri; Perciformes; Percidae. The record is from RefSeq and is a predicted model, not a curated record.
AGGCAGGAAACUUUAUUACAGACGGAAUAGUCAACAUACUCUGCAAGCUUCGCCUACUACGGAGACCAGCACCUCAGCCAGCGUCCCGCUAGCCGGGUAAGGGGACAGCCAAAGCGCCUAGCGCUAGCCGGCCACCUGUCUCAUCAAUCCUGCUUGCAAGUGUCUGCUCAUUAGACAACAAACUGGACAACAUUCAACUUCAACGAAACUCCCAACAUGAGUUCAGGGACAGCGGUGUUUUUGUGGAAAGAUGGAUGAACAACAGUGUGCCGGACUAACCAGCUACCAGGCCUGCUAGCCUUCCGAGCAGAUGCUGCUCUGUUGCCGGGUAAGACUAGUGGAGCUGGGUUGUGUUUACACGGACAGGUGCAGAAAUGGGGAGCUUGUAUCCAACUAACUGCUCACCGCUGGUGGAGAUUGUGACUGUUAAAUGCCGCCCAUUCUACAUUCCACGCAAAUACACGGCUGU